GCCGAGGUGGCGGAAUCGGCAGACGCGAGGGACUUAAAAUCCCUUGGACCUCGGGUCCGUGCGGGUUCGACCCCCGCCCUCGGCA
Molecule: transfer RNA, 85 nt
Filed under: Chloroflexota bacterium
Lineage: Bacteria; Bacillati; Chloroflexota
Description: tRNA-Leu
Rfam family: tRNA
About the family: Transfer RNA (tRNA) molecules are approximately 80 nucleotides in length. Their secondary structure includes four short double-helical elements and three loops (D, anti-codon, and T loops).
Source: RNAcentral